This 264-nucleotide ribosomal RNA is filed under the name uncultured Staphylococcus sp. RNAcentral's name for it is "partial 16S ribosomal RNA". It matches the Rfam family "Bacterial small subunit ribosomal RNA", at positions 96 to 355 of the family's 1533-position model. Lineage: Bacteria; Bacillati; Bacillota; Bacilli; Caryophanales; Staphylococcaceae. The record is from RNAcentral.
CGGCGGACGGGUGAGUAACACGUGGAUAACCUACCUAUAAGACUGGGAUAACUUCGGAAACCGGAGCUAAUACCGGAUAAUAUAUUGAACCGCAUGGUUCAAUAGUGAAAGACGGUUUUGCUGUCACUUAUAGAUGGAUCCGCGCCGCAUUAGCUAGUUGGUAAGGUAACGGCUUACCAAGGCAACGAUGCGUAGCCGACCUGAGAGGGUGAUCGGCCACACUGGAACUGAGACACGGUCCAGACUCCUACGGGAGGCAGCAGC